This 62-nucleotide transfer RNA is filed under the name Doliolum nationalis. RNAcentral describes it as "tRNA-Thr". The record is from RNAcentral. Lineage: Eukaryota; Metazoa; Chordata; Thaliacea; Doliolida; Doliolidae.
UCCUAUGUAGUUUAAAACAAAACACAGAUUUUGUAAAUCUGAGAUCUCUUAGAGCUUAGGAA